GCGAAAGCGAGUCUUAAUAGGGCGUCGAGUUCGUGGGAUCAGACCCGAAACCGAGUGAUCUAGGCAUGACCAGGAUGAAGGUGCGGUAACACGCACUGGAGGACCGAACCCACGUCUGUUGAAAAAGACGGGGAUGACCUGUGGCUAGGGGUGAAAGGCCAAUCAAACUCGGAAAUAGCUGGUUCUCCGCGAAAUCUAUUUAGGUAGAGCGUCGACCGAAUACCCUCGGGGGUAGAGCACUGGAUGGGCUAGGGGGUCUCACCGACUUACCAAACCUAACCAAACUCCGAAUACCCAAGAGUACUAUCCGGGAGACAGACGGUGGGUGCUAACGUCCAUCGUCAAAAGGGAAACAACCCUAACCUACAGCUAAGGUCCCCAAGUCAUAGUUAAGUGGGAAAGCAUGUGGGAUUGCUUAGACAACCAGGAGGUUGGCUUAGAAGCAGCCAUCCUUUAAAGAAAGCGUAAUAGCUCACUAGUCGAGU
RNAcentral lists this ribosomal RNA (485 nucleotides) under uncultured Vexilliferidae. Its description in RNAcentral is "partial Bacterial large subunit ribosomal RNA". It matches the Rfam family "Bacterial large subunit ribosomal RNA", at positions 671 to 1154 of the family's 2925-position model. Lineage: Eukaryota; Discosea; Flabellinia; Dactylopodida; Vexilliferidae. The record is from RNAcentral.